RNAcentral lists this ribosomal RNA (253 nucleotides) under uncultured bacterium. RNAcentral describes it as "partial 16S ribosomal RNA". It matches the Rfam family "Bacterial small subunit ribosomal RNA", at positions 524 to 776 of the family's 1533-position model. The record is from RNAcentral.
UACGGGGGGGGCAAGCGUUGUUCGGAAUUACUGGGCGUAAAGGGCUCGUAGGCGGCCAACUAAGUCGGAUGUGAAAUCCCCAGGCUUAACCUGGGAACUGCAUCCGAUACUGGAUGGCUUGAAUCCGGGAGAGGGAUGCAGAAUUCCAGGUGUAGCGGUGAAAUGCGUAGAUAUCUGGAGGAACACCGGUGGCGAAGGCGGCGUUCUGGACUGCAACUGACACUGAGGAACGAAAGCCAGGGGAGCAAACGGG